RNAcentral lists this ribosomal RNA (495 nucleotides) under uncultured bacterium. RNAcentral's name for it is "partial 16S ribosomal RNA". It matches the Rfam family "Bacterial small subunit ribosomal RNA", at positions 28 to 507 of the family's 1533-position model. The record is from RNAcentral.
GACGAACGCUGGCGGCGUGCCUAAUACAUGCAAGUAGAACGCUGAAGGAGGAGCUUGCUUCUCUGGAUGAGUUGCGAACGGGUGAGUAACGCGUAGGUAACCUGCCUGGUAGCGGGGGAUAACUAUUGGAAACGAUAGCUAAUACCGCAUAAUAGUAGAUGUUGCAUGACAUUUGCUUAAAAGGUGCAAUUGCAUCACUACCAGAUGGACCUGCGUUGUAUUAGCUAGUUGGUGGGGUAACGGCUCACCAAGGCGACGAUACAUAGCCGACCUGAGAGGGUGAUAGGCCACACUGGGACUGAGACACGGCCCAGACUACUACGGGAGGCAGCAGUAGGGAAUCGUCGGCAAUGGACGGAAGUCUGACCGAGCAACGCCGCGUGAGUGAAGAAGGUUUUCGGAUCGUAAAGAUCUGUUGUAAGAGAAGAACGAGUGUGAGAGUGGAAAGUUCACACUGUGACGGUAUCUUACCAGAAAGGGACGGCUAACUACGUG